AAGAACAUUUAAACGUUGUGAGGUUGUGAAAUGAGGUUGUGAAAUUAGGUUAACCGAUGAGGACCACCAAUAUGACAAGUCGUACAAAAUUUUCUCUGAGAUAAUCAUCCAGCAACGAAUUAUCAAGAACCAUGAGAUUUUAAGGAUGACCAAGUUACUUCAGUUGUUUUCAAAAAUUGUUAAAAAGCAUGAAGGGCUUGAAAUGACAAAUUACAGAACUGAUCAACUUAAGUACGGUUUAAGGAAGGACUUUCCACAGUUAUGCUUUCAUAAACCAUAUCGUAGAAAUCAAGGUGAGAUGGUGUUUACAGAGGAGUUGACGUGUUAGCCAGUGUCGUAACAGGUGCGGGGGGAGGGGGAAACUGUCCCUCCCCUGACGGUUUUUACCGGGCUGCCC
Long non-coding RNA from Anneissia japonica, 397 nucleotides. RefSeq lists it as uncharacterized. The record is from RefSeq and is a predicted model, not a curated record. The transcript is spliced from 3 exons. NCBI's taxonomy places the organism in Eukaryota, Metazoa, Echinodermata, Crinoidea, Comatulida, Comatulidae.